Molecule: ribosomal RNA, 519 nt
Filed under: uncultured eukaryote
Lineage: Eukaryota
Description: SSU rRNA
Rfam family: Eukaryotic small subunit ribosomal RNA
Source: RNAcentral
AGGGCACCACCAGGAGUGGAGCCUGCGGCUUAAUUUGACUCAACACGGGGAAACUCACCCGGCCCGGACACAGGUAGGAUUGACAGAUUGAGAGCUCUUUCUUGAUUCUGUGGGUGGUGGUGCAUGGCCGUUCUUAGUUGGUGGAGCGAUUUGUCUGGUUAAUUCCGAUAACGAACGAGACUCUGGCAUGCUAAAUAGUUACGCGACCUUCUCGGUCGGCGUCUAACUUCUUAGAGGGACUAGUGGCGUUUAGCCACACGAGAUUGAGCAAUAACAGGUCUGUGAUGCCCUUAGAUGUCCGGGGCCGCACGCGCGCUACACUGAGUGAAGCAGCGAGUGUCUAACCUAGGCCGAAAGGUCCGGGUAACCCGUUGAACCUCAUUCGUGAUUGGGAUAGGGACUUGCAAUUGUUUCCCUUGAACGAGGAAUUCCCAGUAAGCGCAAGUCAUCAACUUGCGUUGAUUACGUCCCUGCCCUUUGUACACACCGCCCGUCGCUACUACCGAUUGAAUGGUUUAG